UGAGGAAUAUUGGUCAAUGGGCGAGAGCCUGAACCAGCCAAGUAGCGUGCAGGAUGACGGCCCUAUGGGUUGUAAACUGCUUUUAUGUGGGGAUAAAGUGAGCUACGUGUAGUUUAUUGCAGGUACCACAUGAAUAAGGACCGGCUAAUUCCGUGCCAGCAGCCGCGGUAAUACGGAAGGUCCAGGCGUUAUCCGGAUUUAUUGGGUUUAAAGGGAGCGUAGGCCGUGGAUUAAGCGUGUUGUGAAAUGUAGACGCUCAACGUCUGAAUUGCAGCGCGAACUGGUUCACUUGAGUAUGCACAACGUAGGCGGAAUUCGUCGUGUAGCGGUGAAAUGCUUAGAUAUGACGAAGAACUCCGAUUGCGAAGGCAGCUUACGGGAGCACAACUGACGCUGAAGCUCGAAGGUGCGGGUAUCAAACAGGAUUAGAUACCCUGGUAGUCCGCACAGUAAACGAUGGAUGCCCGUUGUUAGUUCACUUAUGAAUUAGCGACCAAGCGAAAGCAUUAAGCAUCCCACCUGGGGAGUACGCCGGCAACGGUG
Molecule: ribosomal RNA, 543 nt
Filed under: uncultured bacterium
Lineage: Bacteria
Description: bacterial SSU rRNA
Rfam family: Bacterial small subunit ribosomal RNA
Source: RNAcentral